This 253-nucleotide ribosomal RNA is filed under the name uncultured bacterium. RNAcentral's name for it is "partial 16S ribosomal RNA". It matches the Rfam family "Bacterial small subunit ribosomal RNA", at positions 524 to 776 of the family's 1533-position model. The record is from RNAcentral.
UACGUAGGGGGCAAGCGUUGUCCGGAUUUAUUGGGCGUAAAGAGCGUGUAGGCGGCUUGGUAGGUCCGCUGUGAAAACUCGAGGCUCAACCUCGAGACGCCGGUGGAAACCAUCAGGCUAGAGUCCGGAAGAGGAGAGUGGAAUUCCUGGUGUAGCGGUGAAAUGCGCAGAUAUCAGGAAGAACGCCCGUGGCUAAGGCGGCUCUCUAGUACGGUACUGACGCUGAGACGCGAAAGCGUGGGGAGCGAACAGG